CGGACGGGUGAGUAACACGUGGGUAACCUGCCUCGUAGCGGGGAACAACUUGCCGAAAGGCAAGCUAAUACCGCAUAACACCUCCGGUGAGAAUCCGGGUGGUAAAAGCAGCAAUGCGCUAUGAGAGGGGCCCGCGGUCGAUUAGCUAGUUGGUGGGGUAAUGGCUCACCAAGGCGACGAUCGAUAGCUGGUCUGAGAGGACGAUCAGCCACACGGGGACUGAGAUACGGCCCCG
This 235-nucleotide ribosomal RNA is filed under the name uncultured bacterium. Its description in RNAcentral is "partial 16S ribosomal RNA". It matches the Rfam family "Bacterial small subunit ribosomal RNA", at positions 99 to 334 of the family's 1533-position model. The record is from RNAcentral.